RNAcentral lists this ribosomal RNA (233 nucleotides) under uncultured bacterium. Its description in RNAcentral is "partial 16S ribosomal RNA". It matches the Rfam family "Bacterial small subunit ribosomal RNA", at positions 15 to 229 of the family's 1533-position model. The record is from RNAcentral.
GAUCAUGGCUCAGGAUGAACGCUGGCGGUGUGCUUAACACAUGCAAGUCGAACGGAACUCCUAUGAACGAGGUUUCGGCCAAGUGAAUAGGAUGUUUAGUGGCGGACGGGUGAGUAACGCGUGAGUAACCUGCCUUGGAGUGGGGAAUAACACAGUGAAAAUUGUGCUAAUACCGCAUGACGUAUCGGGAUGGCAUCUUCCUGAUACCAAAGAUUUUAUCGCUUAGAGAUGGG